UCACAGGCUCGGCUCAAGUGUUAGGUGU
RNAcentral lists this non-coding RNA (28 nucleotides) under Rattus norvegicus (Norway rat). Lineage: Eukaryota; Metazoa; Chordata; Mammalia; Rodentia; Muridae. The record is from RNAcentral.